RNAcentral lists this ribosomal RNA (429 nucleotides) under Fusobacteriota bacterium. Its description in RNAcentral is "Fusobacteria bacterium partial 16S ribosomal RNA". It matches the Rfam family "Bacterial small subunit ribosomal RNA", at positions 355 to 776 of the family's 1533-position model. Lineage: Bacteria; Fusobacteriati; Fusobacteriota. The record is from RNAcentral.
UGGGGAAUCUUCCGCAAUGGACGAAAGUCUGACGGAGCAACGCCGCGUGAGUGAAGACGGCCUUCGGGUUGUAAAGCUCUGUGAUCCGGGACGAAAGAGCCUGAGGUGAAUAGCCUAAGGAAGUGACGGUACCGGAAAAGCAAGCCACGGCUAACUACGUGCCAGCAGCCGCGGUAAUACGUAGGUGGCAAGCGUUGUCCGGAAUUAUUGGGCGUAAAGCGCGCGCAGGCGGCUUCAUAAGUCCAUCUUAAAAGUGCGGGGCUUAACCCCGUGAUGGGAUGGAAACUGGGAAGCUGGAGUAUCGGAGAGGAAAGUGGAAUUCCUAGUGUAGCGGUGAAAUGCGUAGAGAUUAGGAAGAACACCGGUGGCGAAGGCGACUUUCUGGACGAAAACUGACGCUGAGGCGCGAAAGCGUGGGGAGCAAACAGG